GUACAAGGGGUUUUGGGCCCUUAGGUACAGGUUCGUGUCCUGUUUCUCUAAAA
RNAcentral lists this transfer RNA (53 nucleotides) under Lamprolepis smaragdina. Its description in RNAcentral is "partial tRNA-Glx". Lineage: Eukaryota; Metazoa; Chordata; Lepidosauria; Squamata; Scincidae. The record is from RNAcentral.